Molecule: ribosomal RNA, 624 nt
Filed under: uncultured bacterium
Lineage: Bacteria
Description: bacterial SSU rRNA
Rfam family: Bacterial small subunit ribosomal RNA
Source: RNAcentral
GUCGAGCGCACUCUUCGGAGUGAGCGGCGGACGGGUUAGUAACGCGUGGGAACGUGCCCUUCUCUAAGGAAUAGCCACUGGAAACGGUGAGUAAUACCUUAUACGCCCUUCGGGGGAAAGAUUUAUCGGAGAAGGAUCGGCCCGCGUUAGAUUAGAUAGUUGGUGGGGUAAUGGCCUACCAAGUCUACGAUCUAUAGCUGGUUUUAGAGGAUGAUCAGCAACACUGGGACUGAGACACGGCCCAGACUCCUACGGGAGGCAGCAGUGGGGAAUCUUGGACAAUGGGCGCAAGCCUGAUCCAGCCAUGCCGCGUGAGUGAUGAAGGCCUUAGGGUCGUAAAGCUCUUUCGCCAGAGAUGAUAAUGACAGUAUCUGGUAAAGAAACCCCGGCUAACUCCGUGCCAGCAGCCGCGGUAAUACGGAGGGGGUUAGCGUUGUUCGGAAUUACUGGGCGUAAAGCGCACGUAGGCGGAUCAGAAAGUAUAGGGUGAAAUCCCAGGGCUCAACCCUGGAACUGCCUUGUAAACUCCUAAUCUUGAGUUCGAGAGAGGUGAGUGGAAUUCCGAGUGUAGAGGUGAAAUUCGUAGAUAUUCGGAGGAACACCAGUGGCGAAGGCGGCUCACUG